Peromyscus eremicus (cactus mouse) is the source of this 836-nucleotide non-coding RNA. Lineage: Eukaryota; Metazoa; Chordata; Mammalia; Rodentia; Cricetidae. The record is from the annotation of a RefSeq genome assembly.
AUGGAGAGGAGCCUGGGAUCUGUGCUGGGGCUGCUGUGGGUUAAGGUUUACUGGGUCAGAGGGAUGCAGGUGGAGCAGAAUCCUUCAGCUCUCAGUCUCCAGGAGGGAGCCGGCUCUUCUCUGAGAUGCAAUUUUUCUAUAACCAUGACAAAUGUGCAGUGGUUCCGACAGAAUCCCGGCGGCAGCCUCCUCAGGCUGUUCUUCAUGGCUCCAGGAACAAAGGAGAAUGGGAGGUUAAAGUCAACAUUUGACUCCAAGGAGCGCUAUAGCACCCUGCACAUCAGGGAUGCCCAGCUGGAGGACUCAGGCACCUACCUCUGUGCUGCUGAUGCACAGUGCUCCCAGCUAGCCUGCAGCCUGGCCCCAAACUGCAGCUGGGUGUGCAGCUACAGCCCUGCCCCAGGGAGACUCGGAAGGAGGCUUUGCACAGCUGUGGGGUUUCCAAUUUAUGCUGUGUCUCUGUCAUCUCUGCUAACACUAGAGAGUUCAGGAUUGCUGUUUCCUAUCAGUGCGCCCUUUCCUCACAGAUACCCAUUUUCAGGAAGAAGUUCUCAUGAAGAGUACUGGGACAACUGACAAAGAUGACAAGGUUCACAGUACUGUCAAGUAGAUCCACUGCACAGUGUUCACUGCUCUUUAUUGCUCUACAAAGUCAUCAAACAGACGUGCUCUUCAGCAAACAGAAAAGAUAUUACUCAAUGUUUCAGUCAAUUGCAUAUCUUUCCAUUAUCGGAAGAAUGGGACUUUUACCAGCUUUUUUGAGAAUUUCAUACAAUGCACUUCGAUCAUAUUCAGUUCUCCACCAGUUUCUACCAGUCCCACCCCUCCUCUUUACU